This 253-nucleotide ribosomal RNA is filed under the name uncultured bacterium. RNAcentral's name for it is "partial 16S ribosomal RNA". It matches the Rfam family "Bacterial small subunit ribosomal RNA", at positions 524 to 776 of the family's 1533-position model. The record is from RNAcentral.
UACGUAGGGUGCGAGCGUUGUCCGGAAUUACUGGGCGUAAAGGGCUCGUAGGCGGCCAACUAAGUCGGAUGUGAAAUCCCCAGGCUUAACCUGGGAAUGGCAUCCGAUACUGGAGGGCUUGAAUUCGGGAGAGGGAUGCAGAAUUCCAGGUGUAGCGGUGAAAUGCGUAGAUAUCUGGAGGAAUACCGGUGGCGAAGGCGGCAUCCUGGACCGAGAUUGACGCUGAGGAGCGAAAGCUAGGGGAGCAAACGGG